This 497-nucleotide ribosomal RNA is filed under the name uncultured bacterium. RNAcentral describes it as "partial 16S ribosomal RNA". It matches the Rfam family "Bacterial small subunit ribosomal RNA", at positions 28 to 507 of the family's 1533-position model. The record is from RNAcentral.
GAUGAACGCUGGCGGCGUGCCUAAUACAUGCAAGUCGAGCGAACGGACGAGAAGCUUGCUUCUCUGAUGUUAGCGGCGGACGGGUGAGUAACACGUGGAUAACCUACCUAUAAGACUGGGAUAACUUCGGGAAACCGGAGCUAAUACCGGAUAAUAUUUUGAACCGCAUGGUUCAAAAGUGAAAGACGGUCUUGCUGUCACUUAUAGAUGGAUCCGCGCUGCAUUAGCUAGUUGGUAAGGUAACGGCUUACCAAGGCAACGAUGCAUAGCCGACCUGAGAGGGUGAUCGGCGACACUGGAACUGAGACACGGUCCAGACGCCUACGGGAGGCAGCAGUAGGGAAUCUUACGCAAUGGGCGAAAGCCUGACGGAGCAACGCCGCGUGAGUGAUGAAGGUCUUCGGAUCGUAAAACUCUGUUAUUAGGGAAGAACAUAUGUGUAAGUAACUGUGCACAUCUUGACGGUACCUAAUCAGAAAGCCACGGCUAACUACGUG